UACGGGGGGGGCAAGCGUUGUUCGGAAUUACUGGGCGUAAAGGGCUCGUAGGCGGCCAACUAAGUCGGAGGUGAAAUCCCCAGGCUUAACCUGGGAACUGCAUCCGAUACUGGAUGGCUUGAAUUCGGGAGAGGGAUGCAGAAUUCCAGGUGUAGCGGUGAAAUGCGUAGAUAUCUGGAGGAAUACCGGUGGCGAAGGCGGCAUCCUGGACCGGCAUUGACGCUGAGGAGCGAAAGCUAGGGGAGCAAACGGG
RNAcentral lists this ribosomal RNA (253 nucleotides) under uncultured bacterium. Its description in RNAcentral is "partial 16S ribosomal RNA". It matches the Rfam family "Bacterial small subunit ribosomal RNA", at positions 524 to 776 of the family's 1533-position model. The record is from RNAcentral.